UACGGAGACUGCAAGCGUUAUCCGGAAUCACUGGGUUUAAAGGGUGCGUAGGCGGUUAGAUAAGUCAGAGGUGAAAGCUCACAGCUUAACUGUGGAAUUGCCUUUGAUACUGUUAGACUUGAAAUUGGAUGAGGUUAGCGGAAUGAGUCAUGUAGCGGUGAAAUGCAUAGAUAUGACUUAGAACACCAAUUGCGAAGGCAGCUGACUGGUCCAUAUUUGACACUGAGGCACGAAAGCGUGGGUAGCGAAAGGG
Molecule: ribosomal RNA, 253 nt
Filed under: uncultured bacterium
Lineage: Bacteria
Description: partial 16S ribosomal RNA
Rfam family: Bacterial small subunit ribosomal RNA
Source: RNAcentral